This is a long non-coding RNA of Bos taurus (domestic cattle), 343 nucleotides long. The record is from Ensembl. Lineage: Eukaryota; Metazoa; Chordata; Mammalia; Artiodactyla; Bovidae.
AAGGACACAAAGCUGACUCACUUGGAAGUAAAGGUUGCCAGCAGGAAUGAGGAGUCAGUAGGAGAGGCGUCUUACAACCGCCCCCAGGCCCACAUACACACCGGUGUUGAGUCAGGGCCCAGUGACCAGGCUCAGAGGGAAACAGGGAAGCAGCAGCUAAAGGAAGCCUGGGCCUGGGAAAAUGCUGCUGAGGCCAGGCCUGGGAACAAAGGCGGGCAGCUCACUCUGCUGGCUCUCAUAACCAAGUUCAGACAACCUUCUGUCUGCCAGCCACAAAGACAACGCCCACAGCCCCCACCCCAGACGGAGAUCGGAGUCAUUUCCAUGAUCGCUGUGUGUGUUC